This 214-nucleotide ribosomal RNA is filed under the name uncultured bacterium. RNAcentral describes it as "partial 16S ribosomal RNA". It matches the Rfam family "Bacterial small subunit ribosomal RNA", at positions 524 to 738 of the family's 1533-position model. The record is from RNAcentral.
UACGUAGGGGCAAGCGUUGUCCGGAUUAUUGGGCGUAAAGAGCGUGUAGGCGGUCAGGUAGGUCCGUUGUGAAACUCGAGGCUCAACCUCGAGACGCCGAUGGAAACCAUCUGACUAGAGUCCGGAAGAGGAGAGUGGAAUUCCUGGUGGUAGCGGUGAAAUGCGCAGAUAUCGAGGAAGAACACCCGUGGCGAAGGCGGCUCUCUGGAACGCA